This 99-nucleotide Y RNA is filed under the name Otolemur garnettii (small-eared galago). It matches the Rfam family "Y RNA". Rfam says of the family: Y RNAs are components of the Ro ribonucleoprotein particle (Ro RNP), in association with Ro60 and La proteins. The Y RNAs and Ro60 and La proteins are well conserved, but the function of the Ro RNP is not known. Lineage: Eukaryota; Metazoa; Chordata; Mammalia; Primates; Galagidae. The record is from Rfam by way of RNAcentral.
GGCAAGUCCAAGUGUAGUGGACUUAUUAGUCUACAACAGAUUGAUCACAGAUUUCUUUGUUCCUUUUCCACUCCCACUGUUUCAGUUGACUAGCUUUAA